Molecule: ribosomal RNA, 253 nt
Filed under: uncultured bacterium
Lineage: Bacteria
Description: partial 16S ribosomal RNA
Rfam family: Bacterial small subunit ribosomal RNA
Source: RNAcentral
AACGUAGGAUCCGAGCGUUAUCCGAAUUCACUGGGCGUAAAGCGCGAGUAGGCGGCAUAGCAAGUUGGAUGUAAAAACUUCCGGCUCAACUGGGAGAGGACGUACAAUACUGCUAAGCUAGAGGACGGUAGAGGGAGGUGGAAUUCCCGGUGUAGUGGUGAAAUGCGUAGAUAUCGGGAGGAACACCAGAGGCGAAGGCGGCCUCCUGGACCGUAACUGACGCUGAGAAGCGAAAGCUAGGGGAGCGAACGGG